RNAcentral lists this ribosomal RNA (331 nucleotides) under uncultured eukaryote. Its description in RNAcentral is "partial 18S ribosomal RNA". It matches the Rfam family "Eukaryotic small subunit ribosomal RNA", at positions 1470 to 1796 of the family's 1831-position model. The record is from RNAcentral.
CCCUUAGAUGUUCUGGGCCGCACGCGCGCUACACUGAUGCAUUCAACGAGUUUUGUUUGUUCCUUGGCCGAGAGGCCUGGGCAAUCUUUUGAACUUGCAUCGUGAUAGGGAUAGAUUAUUGCAAUUAUUAAUCUUGAACGAGGAAUUCCCAGUAAACGCAGAUCAUCAAUCUGCAUUGAUUACGUCCCUGCCCUUUGUACACACCGCCCGUCGCACCUACCGAUUGAAUGGUCCGGUGAAGCCUCGGGAUUGUGGUUGGUUUCCUUUAUUGGAGAUUGAUUGCGAGAACUUGUCUAAACCUUAUCAUUUAGAGGAAGGUGAAGUCGUAACA